Long non-coding RNA from Camelus dromedarius (Arabian camel), 1654 nucleotides. RefSeq lists it as uncharacterized. The record is from RefSeq and is a predicted model, not a curated record. The transcript is spliced from 3 exons. Lineage: Eukaryota; Metazoa; Chordata; Mammalia; Artiodactyla; Camelidae.
GUGUUUCUGGGAAUGGUUUUUCGCCCUGUUCAAAAGAGAUUACACCCUGAGGAAAGCCCUUUUAUUUUACUCCUAUCCCUUGCUUUCUGCUUUUGGAAAUGUUCUGUGAAGGUUUGAUUCCUGGAGCCACCUUAAGACUUUGAGUCUUUGGGGAGGGGGGAUAGUAGGUAAUAAGGUUUAUUUAUUUUUAAUGGAGAUACUGGGGAUUGAACCCAGGACCUUGUGCAUGCUAAGCACAGACUCUUACCACCAAGCUAUACUCUCUUCCCCCACCAACUUUGAGUCUUUUCAUGUAAAGAGAAUCGAAGAGAUGCCAACUUAGUGCUCUGACACUGUGAAGCUGCUUAGCCAAACUUAAAACCACCCGUCUCUAAAUUUACUGUUACAUAGUAGGUGCUUAAUAUGUAAUUUGUUGUUGGAUGUUGCAUUUGAUUAUUGGAUACAAGGUAUGAGGAAACUGAGAAAUGAAAGUUUAUUUUCAGGUUUUUGGUUUAAAUAACUGGUUAAAUGGUUUUUGUUUUUUUGUUUUUUUUUUUUAACUAAGAUCAGAAUCCUGAAGGAAGAGGUGGGAACUGAAGAAGAGACACGGGGAAAGCUAACAGUUUAGCUUUUGACACAUUUUGAGGUUUAAGAGACUGUGGUACAUAUACCUAGAGAUGUCUACUAGUCAGUCAUAUAUGCAGGUACGGAAAAAGGAGAGAGAUGCAGAUUUGAUGUCUUCAACAUAAAGAUGAUAAUUAAGCCACGAGGAUGGUGAAGACCACUCAGGGAAAUAUGCAGAGCUGGAGAGUGGUAGUCUUAAUGGAGAGCCUGGCUUUAGUAGGGAGUCUGAAGAAUGAUCAUACUUAAAGUAGAGAAAAGAAUUCUAUAAAAGGAGUAUGAGAAGCAAUGUUUGGAGAGGGAGAACUUAGGGGCUCUCACAAUCCAAGGAAAGAGAGAGUUUCAAGGAGAAGUUGUAGAAUGUCAGAUGUUGCAGAGGGUAAAGACUGGAAAGUGUCCAUUGUGUGCAUGUAGAAAACAAUAUGGCUUCUAUUUUUAUUUAUUUGACGUGUAUGUGUGUGUGUGUGUGUGUAUUUUUUUUUUUAAUAGAGGUACCGGGAAUUAAACCCAGGACUUCGUGCAUGCUAAGUAUGCACUCUACCACUAAGCUAUACCCAACCCCCUGGACAUAUAUUUAUUGAGAACCUACCAUGGCAGAUACUCCUUUUAAGUGUUGGGUAGAUAUAAUGAUGAAUAAAAUACGUCCUUUCCCUCAUGGAUUUUAUAUUCUAGUAGGAAGAAAGAAAAUGAACAUAUGGCAAAGAGAUAUGAACUACAAUGUCAGUGAAAUAAGAAAACAGGUAAUUUCUCCUCAUCUUCCUGCCCCCCUCCAUUCCUGAAUAACUACAGAACCCUGAUUUUGUUGAGAGGAAGGCUGAGCUUCUGUUCCAAGUACUCUAUGGGCAUCCACGUGACCAAGUUCUGAAUGUGGACAUGAUGACUGGAGUUCUAGCAACCACCUAUGAUGAUAAAAUGAUUUUAAGCCAUUACUAAAAAUGCAGGAAGAUAGAAUCUAGGUCCCUGAUGACAUUGUGGAGCUGCCACACAAGCCCUAGAUUGCCUACCUCUGGACUUCUUAUUCUGGGAGAAAAUAAAAUAAUUUGUUUAAGCCUCA